GAGCCCAGCACCGAAGCCUGCGGCAGAUUUGCUGUUAGGCAAUGUGGUGUUCGGGUCGGCUGGCGGGACCGUAACUCCACUCGAAGUCCAGCAUUGAGUAUGGUUAUCAUUGGAUUUGGCCCAUAGAGGGUGAGAGGCCCGUACGAGUGGAGGUGCAGACAUGUGAGACGGUUCACCAGGUCGGCCUUAGAGUCGGGUUGUUUGAGAUUGCAGCCCAAAGUGGGUGGUAAACUCCAUCCAAGGCUAAAUACGGGCACGAGUCCGAUAGCGAACAAGUACCGUGAGGGAAAGUUGAAAAGUACUCUGAAGAGAGAGUAAAUAGUACGUGAAACCGCAUGCAGGUAAACGGGUGGCGUCAAACCGCGAGCCCGGAGGAUUCAGCUGGUUGGGUUGUAAUUUGGCCAGAAUAAGAUUUAGUGGUCCGCUCUCUCUUUGUGAGAGUGGAGCAAAGUAUGAGGUGUGUGUGUGUGGCUAGGUGUUGCGCACUUGUGCUGUAGCGCUUGCCAUCACUCUUGCCUCCUCUGAGCUAUACGUGCCGGGUGGGUGCCGGAGUAUGCCACUAAUCUGUAGGGCCGCCUAGUCAGUGCAAUUUCUCCGUGGUGAACAUCACGACCGAUGGAAUUGCCAGUCCACCGUGGUCAAGUCGUGUUCAUGUGACUAUUGGAGAGUUCACUUCGGUGGUACUCUUUCAAUUUAGUUAUGUGGUCGUGAUCGCAGGUGGAGCGAGUAAACGGCGUAGUGGUGCUUCGGUAUUGCUACGUGCUAUCGUGUACUCACCGCCAACGAGUUGUUGGGUAGUAAUGUGACUAGACUGCCUAGCGACUUGGCGGACUUCGGUGGUAAAAAUGACUGUGCAAGGCAUCGGAUUUAUCCACCUCACAUAUAUGUGUACGUCUAUCCGGGCGUAUAUAUAUGUGGUUGUAUCCGGCAGGUAUUUCACAUAUACCAUAAUAAAAAUGGAGGCGCGUUGCUGUGUGUAUACAUUAUGCGUGAUUGUCGUUUUGCCUGCAAAAAGUAGGUGCGGCAGUGGUAUAGUGUAUUAUUAACGCAUAGUAUUUGUACGCUGCCUCUGGUGCAUGUGAUACAGUGGGUGUAAUAGUCAGUGAUGCUGUGGUAGACGAGCUACCCGACCCGUCUCGAAACACGGACCAAGGAGUUUAACAUGUGUGCGAGUCAAAGGGCUCUACGAAACCCCAAGGCGUAGUGAAAGUAAAAGUUGUAUUACACAUAUUUGUUGUAGUACAAUGAGGUGAGAUCUUACUGUGCAUAUGUGUGUAUUUAUACACACAUUAGAGCAGUGAGCGCAUCACCGGCCCGUCCCAUGAUGUGGUCAUUGGCAUUGAUAUGUGUAUGCAUACUUGUUGUGUAUACUAGUGUCAGCUAAUGCGUCAUCGGGGCGGAGCAUGAGCACACACGUUGAGACCCGAAAGAUGGUGAACUAUGCUUGCGUAGGUUGAAGCCAGAGGAAACUCUGGUGGAGGACCGUAGCGAUUCUGACGUGCAAAUCGAUCGUCAAACGUGAGUAUA
Molecule: ribosomal RNA, 1527 nt
Filed under: Catenotaenia pusilla
Lineage: Eukaryota; Metazoa; Platyhelminthes; Cestoda; Cyclophyllidea; Catenotaeniidae
Description: LSU rRNA
Rfam family: Eukaryotic large subunit ribosomal RNA
Source: RNAcentral